CAGCGGCAGCGUCCGCAGCUGUUUUACGUCACGCUGCGAUUCCCGAAAUCGAGCGUUCCUCUUGCAAGAAGGAGGCUGUUGGUCUCAGAGAGGAAGCUCAGAAACACGUCUUUAACGCACUAUCCUGAGGGAAGGUACGGGCGUUGCAGAGGACCCUGCCUGCGCCCGGCAGAGCUUCGGGAACGUUCUGAGCUGCGUGCAGGGGAAGAGGGACCAGAGCCAGACCUGUGUGCGCCCUUUAUAUCCUUCUGGGCACACUUUGUUUGCAACAGCCGGACAGCGGAGCAACGAGGACGUGCCAUUGCAAGGCUGGAGGUGUCCUACAGCUGCUAAAUCCUUCCGUCAGGGCUGGAGAACCUCGUGAGGAUCUCCGGCCGUUGUGAGCUGCACAAGAGGCUCACUGACACCUUCUGUGGCACCCAGCACGUGUGUAAUGUGCAUCACGCACCGUGUGCCCUCUGCUCCUGAACAGUUUUAUGUUCAGAUCCUGGAGACUUGUUGUGCUCGGUAACGCCGAUGCGUUUCUGCUCACAGGAGUGAAUUCCCCUCACGCCGCCUCUUGCAGCCAUUUCCUGCAGCCCACACGGGCUGUGCAGCUGUAGCAGACACUGAGUGGCUCAUGUUCCCUCUGAAAUGCUCUGUAAUUAUGCCACCUAGUUAAGAAUUACGAUGUUCACUUGCCAAGAC
This 687-nucleotide long non-coding RNA is filed under the name Gallus gallus (chicken). Its description in RNAcentral is "long non-coding RNA NONGGAT003308". Lineage: Eukaryota; Metazoa; Chordata; Aves; Galliformes; Phasianidae. The record is from RNAcentral.